GUCUGCUGUGAAAUCCCGAGGCUCAACCUCGGGCUUGCAGUGGGUACGGGCAGACUAGAGUGCGGUAGGGGAGAUUGGAAUUCCUGGUGUAGCGGUGGAAUGCGCAGAUAUCAGGAGGAACACCGAUGGCGAAGGCAGAUCUCUGGGCCGUAACUGACGCUGAGGAGCGAAAGCAUGGGGAGCGAACAGGAUUAGAUACCCUGGUAGUCCAUGCCGUAAACGUUGGGCGCUAGAUGUAGGGACCUUUCCACGGUUUCUGUGUCGUAGCUAACGCAUUAAGCGCCCCGCCUGGGGAGUACGGCCGCAAGGCUAAAACUCAAAGGAAUUGACGGGGGCCCGCACAAGCGGCGGAGCAUGCGGAUUAAUUCGAUGCAACGCGAAGAACCUUACCAAGGCUUGACAUACACCGGAAACGGCCAGAGAUGGUCGCCCCCUUGUGGUCGGUGUACAGGUGGUGCAUGGUUGUCGUCAGCUCGUGUCGUGAGAUGUUGGGUUAAGUCCCGCAACGAGCGCAACCCUCGUUCUAUGUUGCCAGCGGGUUAUGCCGGGGACUCAUAGGAGACUGCCGGGGUCAACUCGGAGGAAGGUGGGGAUGACGUCAAAUCAUCAUGCCCCUUAUGUCUUGGGCUUCACGCAUGCUACAAUGGCCGGUACAAAGGGCUGCGAUACCGUAAGGUGGAGCGAAUCCCAAAAAGCCGGUCUCAGUUCGGAUUGAGGUCUGCAACUCGACCUCAUGAAGUCGGAGUCGCUAGUAAUCGCAGAUCAGCAACGCUGCGGUGAAUACGUUCCCGGGCCUUGUACACACCGCCCGUCAAGUCAUGAAAGUCGGUAACACCCGAAGCCGGUGGCCUAACCCUUGUGGAAGGAGCCGUCGAAGGUGAUC
RNAcentral lists this ribosomal RNA (883 nucleotides) under Curtobacterium sp. 4_8. RNAcentral's name for it is "bacterial SSU rRNA". It matches the Rfam family "Bacterial small subunit ribosomal RNA", at positions 587 to 1467 of the family's 1533-position model. Lineage: Bacteria; Bacillati; Actinomycetota; Actinomycetes; Micrococcales; Microbacteriaceae. The record is from RNAcentral.